RNAcentral lists this ribosomal RNA (448 nucleotides) under uncultured bacterium. RNAcentral's name for it is "bacterial SSU rRNA". It matches the Rfam family "Bacterial small subunit ribosomal RNA", at positions 28 to 521 of the family's 1533-position model. The record is from RNAcentral.
GAUUAACGCCGGCGGCGUGCCUAACACAUGCAAGUCGAGCGCCCCUUCGGGGGAGGCGGCGGACGGCUGAGUAACACGUUGGUACCUGCCCCAAACUCGGGAAUAAGCGCUGGAAACGGCGUCUAAUGCCCGAUAGUCUCUUCGGAGUAAAGCUUUUGCGGUUUGGGAGGGGCCUGCGCAUGAUUAGCUUGUUGGUGAGGUAAUGGCUCACCAAGGCUUCGAUCAUUAAAUGGUCUGAGAGGAUGAUCAUUCAGACUGGGACUGAGACACGGCCCAGACUCCUACGGGAGGCAGCAGUGAGGAAUCUUUCGCAAUGGGGGAAACCCUGACGAAGCAACGCCGCGUGGAGGAAGACGGUCUUCGGAUUGUAAACUCCUUUUAUAUGGGACGAACAUUUGACGGUACCAUAUGAAUAAGAGGUGGCUAACUACGUGCCAGCAGCCGCCGU